UUGUAACAAAUGGCAAUGGAUUUUCAGCACAAACCUAACACUCAUAACACUACAGUAACAGUAAUCAUCUACUUUCAGCAAGGAAGACUCCUUUAAAUAAGGAAAGAGUUACAUUCAUUAUCCUAAAUAUUCACUGAUCAAUGUGCAGUGACAAGUGUCGGGCUAACAGACACACAGACGGACAGAAAGACCAGCCACCCUCUCGGCACAGGCCAAGAGACCCAGAGCCUAUGCUGGACCUUCUGAAGAGGCCCAUGUGUCCAAAAAAAAAAAAAAAAAAAAAAAAAGAGUUUGU
This 295-nucleotide long non-coding RNA is filed under the name Rattus norvegicus (Norway rat). RNAcentral describes it as "long non-coding RNA NONRATT030389". The record is from RNAcentral. Lineage: Eukaryota; Metazoa; Chordata; Mammalia; Rodentia; Muridae.